Molecule: ribosomal RNA, 800 nt
Filed under: uncultured bacterium
Lineage: Bacteria
Description: bacterial SSU rRNA
Rfam family: Bacterial small subunit ribosomal RNA
Source: RNAcentral
AGAGUUUGAUCAUGGCUCAGAUUGAACGCUGGCGGCAGGCCUAACACAUGCAAGUCGAACGGUAACAGGAAUCAGCUUGCUGAUUCGCUGACGAGUGGCGGACGGGUGAGUAAUGUCUGGGAAACUGCCUGAUGGAGGGGGAUAACUACUGGAAACGGUAGCUAAUACCGCAUAACGUCGCAAGACCAAAGAGGGGGACCUUCGGGCCUCUUGCCAUCGGAUGUGCCCAGAUGGGAUUAGCUAGUAGGUGGGGUAACGGCUCACCUAGGCGACGAUCCCUAGCUGGUCUGAGAGGAUGACCAGCCACACUGGAACUGAGACACGGUCCAGACUCCUACGGGAGGCAGCAGUGGGGAAUAUUGCACAAUGGGCGCAAGCCUGAUGCAGCCAUGCCGCGUGUAUGAAGAAGGCCUUCGGGUUGUAAAGUACUUUCAGCGGGGAGGAAGGGAGUAAAGUUAAUACCUUUGCUCAUUGACGUUACCCGCAGAAGAAGCACCGGCUAACUCCGUGCCAGCAGCCGCGGUAAUACGGAGGGUGCAAGCGUUAAUCGGAAUUACUGGGCGUAAAGCGCACGCAGGCGGUUUGUUAAGUCAGAUGUGAAAUCCCCGGGCUCAACCUGGGAACUGCAUCUGAUACUGGCAAGCUUGAGUCUCGUAGAGGGGGGUAGAAUUCCAGGUGUAGCGGUGAAAUGCGUAGAGAUCUGGAGGAAUACCGGUGGCGAAGGCGGCCCCCUGGACGAAGACUGACGCUCAGGUGCGAAAGCGUGGGGAGCAAACAGGAUAGAUACCCUGGUAGUCCAC